AAGUCGUAACAAGGUUUCCGUAGGUGAACCUGCGGAAGGAUCAUUACAGAGUUCAUGCCCUUACGGGUAGAUCUCCCACCCUUGAAUAUUAUACCUUUGUUGCUUUGGCGGGCCGCUUCGGCUACCGGCUACGGCUGGUGAGUGCCCGCCAAAGGACCCCCAAACUCUGAAUUAUAGUGUCGUCUGAGUACUAUAUAAUAGUUAAAACUUUCAACAACGGAUCUCUUGGUUCUG
RNAcentral lists this unclassified non-coding RNA (234 nucleotides) under fungal sp. RNAcentral describes it as "partial internal transcribed spacer region". The stretch from base 1 to 46 matches the Rfam family "Eukaryotic small subunit ribosomal RNA", at positions 1786 to 1831 of the family's 1831-position model. RNAcentral also lists the same sequence under 2 other names. Lineage: Eukaryota; Fungi. The record is from RNAcentral.